GAGAGAGAGAGAGAUGUACAGACAGAGAGACAGAGACAGAGAGAGAUGUAGAGUAUCUAUAAAAGUACCAUGACGGUAUUUUCCUGCUCACCUUUGCCGUCCUCGGCGUCUCUGUUCAGUCUCAUGGCUGCCUUCCCUCUGCGUGGAAAAGCUCGCGCGUGUCUAGCAGUCAGCUCGUGCGCGUUUCCUAACCGCUACACUCCAGCAGGAGACCGAAUGGCAGGUUGGAGGGCGUCUUGAGGCCCGCGUGUGACUGCUGGCAGCUGGAAUCAGUUUUUAAACUUAUACAAUGCUUUGAAUCUAAAUCUUCAUCACCAUCAUCUGGAGCACAACCUAGAUAGAUCAAGAGUUACACUAAAAGUAGGUGCACUAUGAACAUCAUAUGCAUAUGUGAUUCUUCUCGAAACUGUAAGUCUGAAGUACACAGAGUUGUACUGAGUCUCUGUGUGCUGUAGCUUUAGUUUACCUUCACUGGAGCUACAAACUCUGUUCUAGCAUGACAAUGUCCCUGUGCACAAAGCAGCUCCAUGAAGAUCUGCUGUAGAGGUGAAGGCUGGAAUAAGAGGAAGAACUCGAGUGUCCUGCACUGAUCCCUGACUCUGACUCAUCCCCACUGAACAUCCCAACAUCAGUGUCUGAUCUCACUGGUGCUCUUGUGACUGAAUGAUCACUAAUCCCCACAGUCACAAUCCAACAUGUAGUGCAAAACCUUAUUAUACCAGUGAAGGAAUGAGUUCAACAAGUACUGUAUACAGGUAUGUGCACAUACACUGUAGUGUCACGGUCACCAACUAUUGUAACACACAACAAUUUAUUUUAUUCUUAUUAAAUAUUUGUAUCUAAAUGUAAAUGACAUUUUAUCACAGUCUACUGAAUGAAUAGAUGAUGAUCUUUUAACUGAAUAUAAGUUUUAACUGUGACAUCUGGAUCAUCAGUGUCUGCAAUGCCCAAAAUGACUUGUGUACUUACAGUGACCUGUGACCUCAUUGCAUGACCUCCAGUUGAGAUCUUCGCUCACAGUCACCUGAUUACUAAUGACACUCACUUGUUUGAAGUUCUUUUAAUCAAUGAUGCGUCUCAAUCCUGCUGUGUCGGGUCUUACUCUCGGAUUGUUGAACAUUUCUAGCCUUCGGAAUCAUCCUGAUUUGAGUAAUGAGAUGAACAGGGACGACGUAGCACAGAUUUACUUAGUGCGGUGACAGAGAGAUCACACAACCAAAUCAGAGGUUAUUAAACUUAUUUCUAGACAUGAGGUGCUCACAUUUUUCUUAUAAUUUUGGUAGAUCAUCUUUUGGUUUCUUUAAAAAAAGAAAUAGUGAAUUUAACUAAAUUGUCUGCCAAGAGAAUAAGCUUAAAAUUAGGAAACGUGUUCAGAAAUAGGUAAAAAAAAAACAUAUUUGUUUUGCAAUAAGAGAGAGAAAAGUGACUAUAUUAAUGUCUUAUUGUUUACACAUGUCACUGGGCUGCAGCACAAAAUAUCUUAACAGUGUAUCUGAAAUUUCACAUGAAAGGCUGAAUCUCAUCAUGAAAUCCCCACCACUUAAUGUCUACUGUGAGACAGUCAUGGGAGUAAAUCAUCUAACAGAAUCUGACAUUCAUUUAUACAGCUGAUUUGAUUAGUGUGCCGUGUUUUAUAGAAUAAACUUGAUUUAUUCCUGACAUUCCUGAUCUGUGCAGGUCCACAUCUGCUUAAUAAGACACUCCCAACUGAUUAUAAAAGGAUUAAAUGAUGAAGUUUCACUAAGUAUUUAUUUUUUUAACCAAACUCCUAAUAAAGCUCUGAGUUACACUGGCUGCUCAAGCAACACUAGCUGCCCUGUAUGGAAUAUGUAAAAAGAAAAAAAGGAAGGAAGAAGAGUAUUUUGGAUAUCACAAUGCACGUUGUUUCCAAAUACUAAUGACAAAACAAUACUUUGUACUUCAGAUACAGGUCUAAAGUAUAAAACCCUGCGCUUGAGUCAUGUCGGUUAUUUAAAUGCAGAGUGUGUGUUGGUGAGUGCAACCUAGCUAAAGUGAUUUAGUAAUUAGCAUCCCAUAAUGAUUUUAGCUGUUGCUAACACUCUGUCACACUUUACAAACAGAUUCCAGGAAGCUUGUGGAAAAUCGGAUGCUUUAUACUCAGACGAGUGCAGGCUGAUGGACUGGGACUCGGCUGUCACUCCGCUGUACUCAUAUAACAGAAGUUACCGAGAGAGCAGACUGAAUAUGUCUGUCUGCUGCAGAACCUACAGAAGAAACAAACAUGUUUAAAAAUAGACCGUCUUGACUCUCAUAUUGAUCUGCAGAAUUAUUUUGAUACCAGCUGUCAUGAUCGGUUGAAGUGAAGGAGUGAACUAGUGUGCGUGAGGUUUGAAGUAGACAUUAUAUUUAUAAAUUAGGAGGAAAACCUACCCAGAAGCACUGAGAUGUGAUGCAAUUUCGGUUUAAAGCAUGAAACAAGUAAACAAAAGGCAUGUCCUGAAUGAUAAAAUAGCAAGGAGAAAGUCAAACACACUCCACACACACACUACAUACCCCUCACAUCAUCUUUAAUUCAGAUUAGCUCUAUUCAGACAUUUCCUCUUCAUCUCCUAUAGUACAUGAAUAAUAAAAAACCCAGAGCUAAGGGACUAAAUGCUGCAGUUUCUUAACAUCAGUGGAAUCUAGUCCUUCUGGUUACUAAUGUGUAGGCCAAAAAACACAUAAACUUUACUUCAAACAGGAAAGAAAAUCUAUAUGAGACUUUUGAGCUUGCUGUGACCUUGACUCCUGUUUUUCAAUUCAAAUCACAUGUCAAACUACAGUGAAUACAGUGUGGCCUACAAACUUGGCUGCUGAGGGCUACAACACCCAGUAAGCUCAGACUCUCGCUUUCUUACUCACCUGAUCACAUACCUGGACUUUCAGGUUCCCCUCGGAUCAACUGACGAGAAUCUCAGACACGUGACAUUAAAUCUAAAUGUCUAUCAGUGUGAAAGUGGCAUCAGUGCAGCUGAGUCUGGCUGCAUCUGCUUUUUAUCUGUGUAUGCUUGAGGAUUUGACUCGCUCAGAUUCUGAAGCUCCAUGCAGGCCAAUUUUCUGAAUUGCUUGGAUGCAUGUGAGAAGUGUGACCCACGCAGCAGUAACACUCCCGUCUUAACGAGCAUUUCAACCCACACCAGCUGCGUAAUAAUCUUGUGAAGCGACACUGCACUGUGCUUCUUGCCUCGCUGUAUGAAUGAGGAGCUAACUUCACCAACAGCCAUUAAUAGCUCAUACCUACACUUUAUAUACACACUGUGAAAUGUCCUGAACUCUGUUCAAAUGAUUCAUUUAUACAUCCAUCAUUCAUCAGUAGCCUCCCUGGUCUCAGUUCCAGAUCACCUCUGGAUCCACUUGGACCUAGAACCGGUUCUUUUCUGUUAAAGCGUCCUUGACUGUUUGUUGUAAGAAAGCAGCAAUCUUUUCAAUUCAGUUCAGCACCAGAACCUUUACAUCAAGAGCAACAUUACUUUGCUGCCAUGACAACAACUUUAGAUAUUUACAUGGCACUACUAAAGCACAUCAUGAACAAUGUGAACUUGUUGAAAAGACUCCUGAUGAAAAAUGAUCAAGGGUGAACGCUCUGAAGAAGACACAUAAGGCAAGUGCACCAUACUGAACAGUAGGAGGCAGAGUCAUUAUCAUUACAAGCUAAUUACACAUUGCCACCAUGAGUUGUAUUUACACCCGUACAUUAGAGAUCUAACGCGUGUCGUAAUGUUACGCCUCUCAGUUUUGUGGACAUAAAAAAUAAGCCGGUGCAGCACUGCGUUGGUGGAAACAUGGCACCGGAUCCUUUCUCCAGUCAUUCGAUUUACUAAUUGUUUUGUCCACACUGUGUGUAUGCAGGAAAGGCAAAAAUCAAUCUACACUCUCUUCAUCUCAUCAAGUGGAAUAUUCAUCAUUAUGCCGCUGAACUCCAGUCAACACACAGAGGCUUUGAUCUUGCUCUAGUUUCGUGGCUGAUCGAACACAAAGGUCUGAGUGAUUCUGCCACCCACAUACGAUACACACCACAUACUGACUAUCACACGGACGUGCCAGCAUUCGGAAAGAACCCACAACUGAGAGACUAGAAACCUGUAAUAAACUGCACAGAUCAACUGCACCUACAGCAGCUUCUCACCAGCAGCCCCUGGUUUCUACAUCGGCAGGUUUCUAGAUCAGCAUUCUAUCAAUUAUGCAUCAAAUGAAUGCCAGAGGUCCAGAUUUGUGCAACCAGUGAGUAAAAAUAGUGUAUACAGAAAGCAGUUUGGGCCUGAGUGCUCAUGAGCAUGAUGGGUUAUUUGGGUAGAAGUAGUUUUCAUAUAUGAUCAGAAAUGUUCGUAUAACCCCGAAUGUAUUAUCUAUACACUCAGACUGUAUAUGACUGUAGAAAGGACAUUAUUCAUUAUAACACUCCGGUGUUUACAACAGUUUAUAAUCACACCCUCCAAUGUCACCCAAAUGAG
Tachysurus fulvidraco (yellow catfish) is the source of this 4451-nucleotide long non-coding RNA. RefSeq lists it as uncharacterized. Lineage: Eukaryota; Metazoa; Chordata; Actinopteri; Siluriformes; Bagridae. The record is from RefSeq and is a predicted model, not a curated record. The transcript has 3 exons.